RNAcentral lists this transfer RNA (77 nucleotides) under Candidatus Magasanikbacteria bacterium CG11_big_fil_rev_8_21_14_0_20_39_34. Its description in RNAcentral is "tRNA-Ala". It matches the Rfam family "tRNA". Rfam says of the family: Transfer RNA (tRNA) molecules are approximately 80 nucleotides in length. Their secondary structure includes four short double-helical elements and three loops (D, anti-codon, and T loops). Further hydrogen bonds mediate the characteristic L-shaped molecular structure. tRNAs have two regions of fundamental functional importance: the anti-codon, which is responsible for specific mRNA codon recognition, and the 3' end, to which the tRNAs corresponding amino acid is attached (by aminoacyl-tRNA synthetases). tRNAs cope with the degeneracy of the genetic code in two manners: having more than one tRNA (with a specific anti-codon) for a particular amino acid; and 'wobble' base-pairing, i.e. permitting non-standard base-pairing at the 3rd anti-codon position. The record is from RNAcentral. Lineage: Bacteria; Candidatus Magasanikiibacteriota.
GGGCCUUUGGCGCAGCUGGCUAGCGCGCCUCCAUGGCAUGGAGGAGGUCACGGGUUCGAAUCCCGUAAGGUCCGCCA